RNAcentral lists this transfer RNA (69 nucleotides) under Halocynthia papillosa. RNAcentral's name for it is "transfer RNA-Met (TAT)". Lineage: Eukaryota; Metazoa; Chordata; Ascidiacea; Stolidobranchia; Pyuridae. The record is from RNAcentral.
GGUAAUAUAGGUUAAAUAAUUUAAAACUAAAAAGUUUAUUUCUUUUAGAUAACGGGGAGUUUAUUGCUG